UACGUAGGGGGCAAGCGUUGUCCGGAAUCAUUGGGCGUAAAGCGCGUGUAGGCGGCUCGGUAAGUCCGCUGUGAAAGUCCAGGGCUCAACCCUGGAAUGCCGGUGGAUACUGUCGGGCUCGAGUCCGGAAGAGGCGAGUGGAAUUCCUGGUGUAGCGGUGAAAUGCGCAGAUAUCAGGAGGAACACCAAUGGCGAAGGCAGCUCGCUGGGACGUGACUGACGCUGAGACGCGAAAGCGUGGGGAGCAAACAGG
This 253-nucleotide ribosomal RNA is filed under the name uncultured bacterium. Its description in RNAcentral is "partial 16S ribosomal RNA". It matches the Rfam family "Bacterial small subunit ribosomal RNA", at positions 524 to 776 of the family's 1533-position model. The record is from RNAcentral.